CUUAGAUUACACUCAACGGAUAGCUUCUGUUGUGGAUAAGGACGUUUAAUUUAAUAAUACUAGUAUUUCCAUCAAACUCUGAGAUUGAUAUUCACUCACAGUCAGUUUCUAACGGAAAGUUAUGGCGGUAGUUGAGUUGUUCGUGUUAGGGUGCACCGGAAUCGUCAUGUUCUUUCACGGCGUCAAUUUCAUGUUUCACGCUCUCGCUCAUCAAAUCUCCGUUCGAUCUCUCAGUUUCUUGGGGUGUGUUUGGUGACAAACAAAUGAACAGAUGAGCCGGAAUUUGGUUUUCAACGGAAUGGAAAUUGUGAAUAUUUUUUGUAGACAAUAAUAAAUGUAAGAUGAAUGAGGAAUGUUUUUCAUCUUAUAAUAUUUUUGUAAAGUUUGGUUAUUAUGAUAGGGUGCUACUUUCUACACC
Molecule: long non-coding RNA, 418 nt
Organism: Helianthus annuus (common sunflower)
Lineage: Eukaryota; Viridiplantae; Streptophyta; Magnoliopsida; Asterales; Asteraceae
Exons: 2
Source: RefSeq, a predicted model, not a curated record